CCUACGGGUGGCAGCAGUGAGGAAUAUUGGUCAAUGGACGCGAGCCUGAACCAGCCAAGUCGCGUGAGGGAAGACGGUCCUAUGGAUUGUAAACCUCUUUUGUCGGGGAGCAAAAGACGCCACGCGUGGCGUUCCGAGCGUACCCGAAGAACAAGCAUCGGCUAACUCCGUGCCAGCAGCCGCGGUAAUACGGAGGAUGCGAGCGUUAUCCGGAUUUAUUGGGUUUAAAGGGUGCGCAGGCGGAAGAUCAAGUCAGCGGUAAAAUUGAGAGGCUCAACCUCUUCGAGCCGUUGAAACUGGUUGUCUUGAGUGAGUGAGAAGUAGGCGGAAUGCGUGGUGUAGCGGUGAAAUGCAUAGAGAUCACGCAGAACUCCGAUUGCGAAGGCAGCAUACCGGCGCGCAACUGACGCUCAUGCACGAAAGUGUGGGUAUCGAACAGGAUUAGAUACCCGAGUAGUC
This 459-nucleotide ribosomal RNA is filed under the name uncultured bacterium. Its description in RNAcentral is "partial 16S ribosomal RNA". It matches the Rfam family "Bacterial small subunit ribosomal RNA", at positions 338 to 795 of the family's 1533-position model. The record is from RNAcentral.